Molecule: long non-coding RNA, 581 nt
Organism: Corticium candelabrum
Lineage: Eukaryota; Metazoa; Porifera; Homoscleromorpha; Homosclerophorida; Plakinidae
Exons: 3
Source: RefSeq, a predicted model, not a curated record
UAGAGAGUCCGAUCGUGCUUGAUUGGCGAGUUUCCGACCCGUAGUUGGACGUUUUCGCUUCGGCCGAAAUCGGCCGUCAAGCACACCGGAGGAGGAUUGGGAGGAGGUUAGCGAAGCUUCCGAAGAGAAGAGGUAUUGGUUCGUAAUCCCUAGUGUCGUCAUACUUCCGGUCGCUUUGUUGAUGGCGACGGAACCGGUUGUCUUCAAGAAUGCAACAGUCGCGCUAGCUAGUAGAACGGCGUAGGUGAAUACGAGAUGUCUCUACGUACAGAAGGGCAUUUCAGGUCAUUUCAGAUCAUUUCGCACGGUCUGGUCAGAGACGUGGUCAGGGCGUGGUCGCUGUCGAACAGAAGCUCGAAGUUGUGCGUCGUACAAGCAGAGGACGUGCUUUGUUGAGAGUAAUAGUUUGUAGAUAGUGUAGAUAGAUGUGUACAGUUGGUUAUUUCUACUUUGUAAGUAGUUUUACAAUAGUUUGUGUAGCGGAGUGUUGUGUACUACUUUUUCUCUCAUAACUUGAUUUUGUACUGUUCCGAGGUAAGCGAUGUUUAUAGCCGUGUAGAGUUGAGUCUGUUGCAUCUCUG